This 598-nucleotide ribosomal RNA is filed under the name uncultured Lachnospiraceae bacterium. Its description in RNAcentral is "bacterial SSU rRNA". It matches the Rfam family "Bacterial small subunit ribosomal RNA", at positions 62 to 657 of the family's 1533-position model. The record is from RNAcentral. Lineage: Bacteria; Bacillati; Bacillota; Clostridia; Lachnospirales; Lachnospiraceae.
UCGAACGGAACUGUUUUGAAAGAUUUCUUCGGAAUGAAUUUGAUUUAGUAUAGUGGCGGACGGGUGAGUAACGCGUGAGUAACCUGCCUUCAAGAGGGGGAUAACAUUCUGAAAAGAAUGCUAAUACCGCAUGAUAUAUCGGGACCACAUGGUUUUGAUAUCAAAGAUUUUAUCGCUUGAAGAUGGACUCGCGUCCGAUUAGUUAGUUGGUGAGGUAACGGCUCACCAAGACCGCGAUCGGUAGCCGGACUGAGAGGUUGAACGGCCACAUUGGGACUGAGACACGGCCCAGACUCCUACGGGAGGCAGCAGUGGGGGAUAUUGCGCAAUGGGGGCAACCCUGACGCAGCAACGCCGCGUGAAGGAUGAAGGUUUUCGGAUUGUAAACUUCUUUUAUUAAGGACGAAAAACGACGGUACUUAAUGAAUAAGCUCCGGCUAACUACGUGCCAGCAGCCGCGGUAAUACGUAGGGAGCAAGCGUUGUCCGGAUUUACUGGGUGUAAAGGGUGCGUAGGCGGCUUUGCAAGUCAGAUGUGAAAUCUAUGGGCUCUACCCAUAAACUGCAUUUGAAACUGUAGAGCUUGAGUGAAGUAGAGG